RNAcentral lists this ribosomal RNA (508 nucleotides) under uncultured bacterium. RNAcentral describes it as "partial 16S ribosomal RNA". It matches the Rfam family "Bacterial small subunit ribosomal RNA", at positions 30 to 523 of the family's 1533-position model. The record is from RNAcentral.
AUUGAACGCUGGCGGCAUGCCUAACACAUGCAAGUCGAACGGCAGCAUGAAUAGGGGUAACCUUAUUUGAUGGCGAGUGGCGGACGGGUGAGUAAUAUGUAGGAAUCUACCUAGAGGAGGGGGAUAACUUGGGGAAACCCAAGCUAAUACCACAUAAGCCCUACGGGGGAAAGCAGGGGAUCGAAAGAACUUGCGCCUUAUGAUGAGCCUACAUCGGAUUAGCUAGUUGGUGGGGUAAAGGCCUACCAAGGCGACGAUCCGUAGCUGGUCUGAGAGGAUGAUCAGCCACACUGGGACUGAGACACGGCCCAGACUCCUACGGGAGGCAGCAGUGGGGAAUAUUGGACAAUGGGCGAAAGCCUGAUCCAGCAAUGCCGCGUGUGUGAAGAAGGCCUUAGGGUUGUAAAGCACUUUCAGUAGGGAGGAAGGUUGUAAUGCUAAUAUCAUUGCAAAUUGACGUUACCUACAGAAGAAGCACCGGCUAACUCUGUGCCAGCCGCCGCGGUAA